CCCUUAGAUGUUCUGGGCCGCACGCGUGCUACACUGAGUGGAUCAGCGGGUCAGGUUGCGCGAAAGCGUUUCCUAAUCUUUAAAUCCGCUCGUGAUGGGGAUUGACGGUUGCAAUUUUCUGUCAUGAACGAGGAAUACCUUGUAAGCGCGGGUCAUCAUCCCGCGCUGAAUACGUCCCUGCCCUUUGUACACACCGCCCGUCGCACCUACCGAUUGAAUGGUCCGGUGAAAUCUUAGGACUGCGACUUUGUCUCGUUCAUUCAAGACGCUGUCGCGGGAAUUUGAUUAAACCUUACCAUUUAGAGGAAGGUGAAGUCGUAACA
Molecule: ribosomal RNA, 323 nt
Filed under: uncultured eukaryote
Lineage: Eukaryota
Description: partial 18S ribosomal RNA
Rfam family: Eukaryotic small subunit ribosomal RNA
Source: RNAcentral